GACGAACGCUGGCGGCAUGCUUAACACAUGCAAGUCGAACGAUGAAGAAGAGAAACGCGAACUUCGGUUCAAAUUUCACUUCGGAUUAGUGGCAGACGGGUGAGUAACGCGUGAGCAACCUACCUCUUACAAAGUGAUAGCCUCGGGAAACCGUGAUUAAUACCAUAUGACACAUUCAUAAGGCAUCUUAAGAAUGUUAAAGCUACGGCGGUAAGAGAUGGGCUCGCGUCCCAUUAGCUAGUUGGUGAGGUAACGGCCCACCAAGGCGACGAUGGGUAACCGGCCUGAGAGGGUGAACGGUCACAUUGGAACUGAGACACGGUCCAAGCUCCUACGGGAGGCAGCAGUGGGGAAUAUUGCACAAUGGAGGGAACUCUGAUGCAGCGACGCCGCGUGAGCGAUGAAGGAAUUCGUUUCGUAAAGCUCUGUUCUAUGGGAAGAAAAGGACUGUACCAUAGGAGAAAGCCCCGGCUAAAUACGUG
Molecule: ribosomal RNA, 482 nt
Filed under: uncultured bacterium
Lineage: Bacteria
Description: partial 16S ribosomal RNA
Rfam family: Bacterial small subunit ribosomal RNA
Source: RNAcentral